GACGAACGCUGGCGGCGUGCCUAAUACAUGCAAGUAGAACGCACAGUUUAUACCGUAGCUUGCUACACCAUAGACUGUGAGUUGCGAACGGGUGAGUAACGCGUAGGUAACCUGCCUGGUAGCGGGGGAUAACUAUUGGAAACGAUAGCUAAUACCGCAUAAUAUUAAUUAUUGCAUGAUAAUUAAUUGAAAGGUGCAAUUGCACCACUACCAGAUGGACCUGCGUUGUAUUAGCUAGUAGGUGAGGUAACGGCUCACCUAGGCGACGAUACAUAGCCGACCUGAGAGGGGGAUCGGCCACACUGGGACUGAGACACGGCCCAGACUCCUACGGGAGGCAGCAGUAGGGAAUCUUCGGAAAUGGACGAAAGUCUGACCGAGCAACGCCGCGUGAGUGAAGAAGGUUUUCGGAUCGUAAAGCUCUGUUGUAAGAGAAGAACGGGUGUGAGAGUGGAAAGUUCACACUGUGACGGUAGCUUACCAGAAAGGGACGGCUAACUACGUG
RNAcentral lists this ribosomal RNA (505 nucleotides) under uncultured bacterium. Its description in RNAcentral is "partial 16S ribosomal RNA". It matches the Rfam family "Bacterial small subunit ribosomal RNA", at positions 28 to 507 of the family's 1533-position model. The record is from RNAcentral.